AACCUCCGCAAUGUGAGAAAUCGCGACGGGGGGAUCCCAAGUGCCAUUCUUAACGGGAUGGCUUUUCAUUAGUGUAAAGAGCUUUUGGAAUAAGAGCUGGGCAAGACCGGUGCCAGCCGCCGCGGUAACACCGGCAGCUCUAGUGGUAGCUGUUUUUAUUGGGCCUAAAGCGUUCGUAGCCGGUUUGAUAAGUCACUGGUGAAAUCCUGUAGCUUAACUGUGGGAAUUGCUGGUGAUACUGUUGAACUUGAGGUCGGGAGAGGUUAGCGGUACUCCCAGGGUAGAGGUGAAAUUCUGUAAUCCUGGGAGGACCACCUGUGGCGAAGGCGGCUAACUGGAACGAACCUGACGGUGAGGGACGAAAGCUAGGGGCGCGAACCGGAUUAGAUACCCGGGUAGUCCUAGCCGUAAACGAUGCGGACUUGGUGUUGGGAUGGCUUUGAGCCGCUCCGGUGCCGAAGGGAAGCUGUUAAGUCCACCGCCUGGGAAGUACGGUCGCAAGACUGAAACUUAAAGGAAUU
RNAcentral lists this ribosomal RNA (521 nucleotides) under uncultured bacterium. Its description in RNAcentral is "bacterial SSU rRNA". It matches the Rfam family "Archaeal small subunit ribosomal RNA", at positions 345 to 866 of the family's 1478-position model. The record is from RNAcentral.